UGGGGAAUAUUGGACAAUGGGCGAAAGCCUGAUCCAGCCAUGCCGCGUGUGUGAAGAAGGUCUUCGGAUUGUAAAGCACUUUAAGUUGGGGGGAAGGGCAUUAACCUAAUACGUUAGUGUUUUGACGUUACCGACAGAAUAAGCACCGGCUAACUCUGUGCCAGCAGCCGCGGUAAUACAGAGGGUGCAAGCGUUAAUCGGAAUUACUGGGCGUAAAGCGCGCGUAGGUGGUUUGUUAAGUUGGAUGUGAAAUCCCCGGGCUCAACCUGGGAACUGCAUUCAAAACUGACUGACUAGAGUAUGGUAGAGGGUGGUGGAAUUUCCUGUGUAGCGGUGAAAUGCGUAGAUAUAGGAAGGAACACCAGUGGCGAAGGCGACCACCUGGACUAAUACUGACACUGAGGUGCGAAAGCGUGGGGAGCAAACA
RNAcentral lists this ribosomal RNA (427 nucleotides) under uncultured bacterium. RNAcentral describes it as "partial 16S ribosomal RNA". It matches the Rfam family "Bacterial small subunit ribosomal RNA", at positions 355 to 774 of the family's 1533-position model. The record is from RNAcentral.